GCAAGUGUCGGGCCUGGGUUUAAAGAGGAACCCGAGCGCGUGGCUGCGUGUGAGCGGGAGCGUGUGACGUCGGGAGCCGCCCCGCUCGGCUGUCCCUGGUCAGGACCCACACUGCCGACUGGCUGGCCCUGGCGGUCACAUUUGCCCUCUGGGGUUUUUGAAAACCUUAAAUCAAAGUUAUUUUUUUUUCUCCCCCGGCAACUCCCGAGGCUACUGCUGCGGCCUCCGGGCUGUGAACAGAUAAGGACGCGAGUUUCCCCGACGAGGCUGACUGCAGACAAAGUGGAUUUCUAAGCCAGAUGGUUCUCCAUUUGAGGCAGUCAACAGUAUUUGGCAAUCUGAACUUUCCAUAACUCCAGUGACAAGCUGGGAUGCUCUAGCCAGGAAGCUGAGAUACUGAGAUCCAGAACAUACAGGACCAGCAGAUGCUGAACAGGGCUGAGGAUGUGGUUUCCAGCCCAACUACCUCAGGAGUCCAUCAGCCACAGUAUGCCUGUUUCUUGCUCUGUAGGCUGGAGAAUGUGUAGCAACAUACCCUUGAUCAUGAAACUACAGCCUGUGCGUGGGAUCUAGGUUCUGUCCCAGCCUUGAGGAGCAUCUGCCUGAAGCUUGGAGCUCCGGCGUGACCCUGGAGCCCUUUGGCCUGGGCCCAGCUGCAGGCUUCAUCUGGCUGUCUGCAUUACUCUCUGGUAAUGAGUUCCCCUCCCCUGGAGAAAUUUUCCCAGAAGUUCCACCCACGCCCACUUGCCAGGGUGGC
Long non-coding RNA from Myotis myotis, 757 nucleotides. RefSeq lists it as uncharacterized. The record is from RefSeq and is a predicted model, not a curated record. NCBI's taxonomy places the organism in Eukaryota, Metazoa, Chordata, Mammalia, Chiroptera, Vespertilionidae. The transcript has 4 exons.